Molecule: long non-coding RNA, 423 nt
Organism: Bombus impatiens (common eastern bumble bee)
Lineage: Eukaryota; Metazoa; Arthropoda; Insecta; Hymenoptera; Apidae
Exons: 2
Source: RefSeq, a predicted model, not a curated record
UGUAACAGUUCUUAGGCCAGUGUAAAUUGCUAUCUUACGACAUGUUUUGCGAGGUAGUUAGCAGGAGCAAGAAAAAAUAUUGAAAUACACAGCGAUAUCGAUACGAGUGUAAAGAAAAUGAGUUUUAAAUAACUGGAACGAUGGUCACGUUAUCGUUAUGGAAAAUUUUAUGAUCGUGAAUUGUAGAAGAGGAAUAUUGAAUUUUAGUAUUUUCGAUGAAUGCGAAAUAUAAUAAGUGCUAUGUUGUCGCAAAUCAAUCAUAUAGAAUCAAAGAUAUGAUUAGAGCGAAAAUCAUAUUACGUAGUUAAAUUCUGACGAUCUUAGUGAUAUUGAACGCUGUUACGUCACAUAACACUCGAGUACUCACUUUACGUAACAAGAAGGAACAUGUUACUUAUAAAUCGAAAAUCUAAGGAAGGUUAA